AAUGGGGGAAACCCUGACGCAGCAACGCCGCGUGAGUGAGGAAGGCCUUCGGGUUGUAAAGCUCUGUCAGAAGGGAAGAAGGUAGUUGGUCUAAUAGGCCUUCUAUUUGACGGUACCUUCAAAGGAAGCACCGGCUAACUUCGUGCCAGCAGCCGCGGUAAUACGAAGGGUGCAAGCGUUAUUCGGAUUUACUGGGCGUAAAGCGCGCGCAGGCGGAUGGAUAAGUCAGAUGUGAAAUCUCGGGGCUCAACCCCGAAACUGCGUCUGAAACUGUUCAUCUAGAGUCUUGGAGGGGGAAGUGGAAUUUCGCAUGUAGGGGUGAAAUCCGUAGAGAUGCGAAGGAACACCAGAGGCGAAGGCGACUUCCUGGCCAAGUACUGACGCUGAGGCGCGAAAGCGUGGGGAGCAAACAGGAUU
RNAcentral lists this ribosomal RNA (417 nucleotides) under uncultured delta proteobacterium. RNAcentral describes it as "bacterial SSU rRNA". It matches the Rfam family "Bacterial small subunit ribosomal RNA", at positions 370 to 779 of the family's 1533-position model. The record is from RNAcentral. Lineage: Bacteria; Deltaproteobacteria.